AACGUACGCUGGCGGCACGCCUAACACAUGCAAGUCGAACGAAGUAGCAAUACUUAGUGGCAGACGGGUGAGUAACAUGUAGGUAUCUGCCCUUUGGCCUGGAAUAACACGAGGAAACUUGUGCUAAUACCGGAUAAGUCUUUACGGAGAAAGCUUUAUGCACCAUUGGAUGAGCCUGCACUUGAUUAGUUUGUUGGUAGGGUAAUGGCCUACCAAGACUGUGAUCAAUAGCUGAUUUGAGAGGAUGAUCAGCCACAUUGGGACUGAGACACGGCCCAAACUCCUACGGGAGGCAGCAGUGGGGAAUCUUGCACAAUGGAGGAAACUCUGAUGCAGCGAUGCCGCGUGAGUGAAGAAGGCCCUUGGGUUGUAAAGCUCUUUCGUCGGGGAAGAAAAUGACUGUACCCGAAUAAGAAGGUCCGGCUAACUUCGUGCCAGCAGCCGCGGUAAUACGAAGGGACCUAGCGUAGUUCGGAAUUACUGGGCUUAAAGAGUUCGUAGGUGGUUGAAAAAGUUAGUGGUGAAAUCCCAGAGCUUAACUCUGGAACUGCCAUUAAAACUUUUCAGCUAGAGUAUGAUAGAGGAAAGCAGAAUUUCUAGUGUAGAGGUGAAAUUCGUAGAUAUUAGAAAGAAUACCAAUUGCGAAGGCAGCUUUCUGGAUCAUUACUGACACUGAGGAACGAAAGCAUGGGUAGCGAAGAGGAUUAGAUACCCUCGUAGUCCAUGCCGUAAACGAUGUGUGUUAGACGUUGGAAAUUUAUUUUCAGUGUCGCAGGGAAACCGAUAAACACACCGCCUGGGGAGUACGACCGCAAGGUUAAAACUCAAAUGAAUUGACGGGGACCCGCACAAGUAGUGGAGCAUGUGGUUUAAUUCGAAGAUACGCGCAGAACCUUACCAACACUUGACAUGUUCGUCGCGACUCUAAGAGAUUAGAGUUUUCGGUUCGGCCGGACGAAACACAGGUGCUGCAUGGCUGUCGUCAGCUCGUGUCGUGAGAUGUUGGGUUAAGUCCCGCAACGAGCGCAACCCUCACUUUUAGUUGCCAUCAUUAAGUUGGGCACUCUGAAAGAACUGCCAGUGAUAAGCUGGAGGAAGGUGGGGAUGACGUCAAGUCCUCAUGGCCCUUACGUGUUGGGCUACACACGUGCUACAAUGGUAUCUACAACAGGAAGCAAGACUGCGAAGUUAAGCAAAUCCCUAAAAGAUACCUCAGUUCGGAUUGCACUCUGCAACUCGAGUGCAUGAAGCUGGAAUUACUAGUAAUCGUGGAUCAGCGUGCCACGGUGAAUGCGUUCCCGGGUCU
Molecule: ribosomal RNA, 1306 nt
Filed under: uncultured bacterium
Lineage: Bacteria
Description: bacterial SSU rRNA
Rfam family: Bacterial small subunit ribosomal RNA
Source: RNAcentral